AUGCAGCUGUUUGCAGGUUAGCAUAUUGCUAACCCUGUAUUAUAGCGAAAGAAACGGGCAGUGCAACAGCGUCUCAGCAAGCCAAGGGACAAAAUGCUGUCGGAGAGGCUCCAGCAUACCCCUGCGACCCUAGUGAGGAUAGGCGGCAUAGAAAAAUGAUGGCUGGAUGGAUGGCUGUCGGAGUAUGUGCAAACCAGAAGAAAAGAGGGAACAUUGUCCACGACACACUAAACUGGUUCCAUGAGCUCCUCAACCUGCUAAACCAGUCACGUCGUCCUGCACAUUGUCUUCCCACCACUUCCUGCUGAAUGCUGAACAUGAGAGAAGACGUAUAGCUUACAACAGCUGUACUUCGGCAUGGUGACGCUGCGAGAGCCAAGAAAGCAAAACGUGGGUGUAGGCCACAUUCCUCUCCAGAUGUUCAGCCUGGCUGUGCUCCACGCACAACAACAACAACAAUGACAAUAACACACUUUUGCAGACACAGAGCCCCUUUUGCACUGUGACUGGUUCAGAGCUUUUUUGGAGCUGGUUGUCAGAGCUUUGCUUUUCCACCGUUCUGCAUAAUGAGGUGGGUGGGGUUAUUUAAAAAAAAAGUCUGCGAAUUACCGCCAUCUUUAUUACAUUGCAUUGCAACUCUAACAAUGGAAAACGCUCCAAAAACAUAGACACUCGGAAACCCACUCUCAUUCAAACAAGUGCCAAAGAAAUUUGAAAUGGCAAUAGGAGCCCAGUCAAUACUGGAAUGCAUCAAGAGGCAAGAUGGCUGCAUUGGGUUUCUUUCGGUCUUUCAAACAAAUUAAUAACAAACUUCAGCAAUUAAAGAAGGACUACAAAGACCAAAAAAGACCUUGACAGGUGUGACAGUGGUUGGAGGAGAGUAAUGCCUUAUUUUGAGGAGCCAGCUAGCCAGGAGACAGCUAGCUGGUGCUGGUGUGUUAAAUACCACAAUGCUGUACUCCUCCGAACUCCACCGAAAUUCAGGAGGCUGUCAAAAAAGAAGACUCAUGCAAAAGUCAGAAUUUUCAACUGGUUUUAAGAUUUUGAUCAGGUCUGUACUAGCCUGCCGUUAGCAUGCUAGUUUGCUACUGAUGAUUGAAUGAAAGCCUCGUCACCCUCCCCUUCUCAUUUGUGUAUACGGCAGAAAAAAAUAGUUUCAUCGUAAACCUAUAGUCAUGUAAGAAGUAAAUUAAGGUGCAAAAUGCAAAACAUUUUAGCAUAAAGAUUGCACAUUGCAGGGUAUCGUAGCGAGGGGAGGAUGACCCAUCUCAUCACCAUUGUUUUCUGACAGAAAGAUAAAAACGUAUUAACCAGAACACAGUUGCAUGAUAAAUGUUACUUCUUACAUGACUAUAGGUUCACAAUGAAACUACUUUGCUGCCGUACGAACACAUGAGAAGGGGAGGGUGGCGAUCACUUGCUAUUGUCUAAUGAAUGAAAGCCUAUUCAACAAUAGUAAGCUAGCAUGCUAACGUUAACAUCCAUCCAUCCAUCCAUCGUCUACCGCUUAUUCGAGGUUGGGUCGCAGGAGCAGCAGCCUAACCAGGGAAGCCCAGACUUCCCUAUCCCUGGCCACUUCAUUCCAGCUCCUCCUGGCGUAUCCCGAGGCGUUCCCAGGCCAGUUGAGAGACAGUCUCUCCAACGUGUCUUGGGUCUUCCCCGGGGCCUUCUACCAAAUGCCCAAGCUGGCUCCUCUCAAUGCGGAGGAACAGCGGUUCUACUCCAAGUUUCUGCCGGAUGACAGUGCUUCUCACCUUAUCUCUAAGGGGGAGCCCAGCCACCCUAUGGAGAAAACUGAUUUUGACUGCUUAUACCCGCGAUCUUGUCCUUUCAGCCACUACCCAAAGCUCAUGAGCAUAGGCAGGGUACAACUGUAGCAGGAUAGAUUUUUUCUUUACCACAUUAGUCAACCCAUUUACAUUUAAUGAAAUUAUUUUCAAAUCAUGCAUAUUCCCUAUAUAAAUUCAACAACAAUAAAAAAGAACAAUCCUUAUCUAUUUUGUUCAGAAACCAAAAACUUAACAUUAACCUUUUGGCACACAAAAGUAAGGGAAAAAUAAAUGACAUUAAUAAAAAGAAUAUUUAAUCAAAUUAAACGUACAUCACAGAUCUCAAAAGUUAACUUCCAACAAAAGGGGUGAAUAAGACGUACUCUAAGCCGCCUAGAAAAGAAAAGUUCCCUGAAGAUGAACAAAUUUAACUCUCACGCACCCGUUGUUCCCAAUGUCCUCCCUCCAAAAGGAAAGAAAAAAACGUCACUUCAUGCUUAGCUUUAAUAAAUAAACAUAAAGGCUCCUUUUUAUGACGAGGAGUUCAUUUGUCUUUUAAUUGGCACAGAGAAGUAUACCUAUUAAUAGUGUUUCACUGUUCCAACUCCUCCAUGCGUGCCGGCCUUCCCUUCUCCCCUCGUCCGAUCGCUGUGGUCCACAUCCCUCUUUAGCAUCUUCUCUUGAAGUGUCUCUGUGUACUCCUCCUCGAUUCCUUUUUUUUGUCCUGUCCAGCUAUUAGGGCAGAUAGUAUUAUUGAUCUAAAUGCCCUUACGUGCUCAACAGAUUUGCUCUACCAGGGAAAAGUGUGAGAUACUCUUCCCCUGUUAAACAGAAUUUAUUUGACUUUGAUGUUUUUUUGUUAUGCAAAUUUGGAGCGGCCGGAACGGCGCAGGAGGGGAUAGACAAGAAGAGAAAAGAAAACAGAGGGUGGACAAUACAGAGACAGACAAGGACAACAGCAACAACAACAAUUGCGACAACAAUAACAAAACAACAGAAACAAACAGUAUUACAUCAGCACAUGGCUGUGACGGCUAUAAAGACCAUGAUGGAGAGGACAAAACACUACAAUGAUAAUACUGCAUUGAAACAGUCAUACACAUUAGUAGUAAUAGUAGUAAUGAAAUUAUUAACUAUGAUAGUGAACAGAAUGACAAUAACUGUAAUGCACAAAAUUGUAAUAACUAUAUCUGAUAUCACCAUCACUGUAAUAAAACCAACAACAUAGUACCCCCCUGGUUAACUCAGUGAGUUAUGUGGGGAAGACCAGCAAGGGGCCGCAGAGAGGCAACCCCGACCAGAAACAGGGCGCCUGCAGGCCGGAGGACAGCCAACCCCCGAGACCGGCAGGAGAUCAGACCCCACAAGGGCAGACGGACACCAGCAGGCCCAGAGACGGCCCUGCAACUGGAAAGGAGCCCACCCACGGCGGGAGCGCCAGCCCCCCACGCCACUCCCCACCCCCAGGGACCAGAGCCCGGCCCGCCCUGGGCCACCCCAUCCCCACCCUCAAUGUGUUUUCCUAAAUUCAUACUGGAGGAGCUGCUGUCAGAG
This is a long non-coding RNA of Dunckerocampus dactyliophorus (ringed pipefish), 3323 nucleotides long. RefSeq lists it as uncharacterized. The transcript is spliced from 3 exons. NCBI's taxonomy places the organism in Eukaryota, Metazoa, Chordata, Actinopteri, Syngnathiformes, Syngnathidae. The record is from RefSeq and is a predicted model, not a curated record.